AUGGCCUCCAACCAGAACCAGGCGAGCUACGCGGCCGGCGAGACCAAGGCCCGCACUGAGGAGAAGACCGGGCAGAUGAUGGACAAGGCGGGGCAGGCCACGGAGGCCACCAAGCAGAAGGCCGGAGAGGCCAAGGACAAGACGGCCCAGACGGCGCAGGCGGCCAAGGACCGCGCCGCCGAGAGCAAGGACCAGACCGGCAGCUUCCUCGGCGAGAAGACGGAGGCGGCCAAGCAGAAGACCGCCGAGGCAACCGAUGCGGCCAAGCAGAAGGCGUCGGAGACGGCCCAGUACGCGCAGGAGAGGUCCUCCGACGCGGCGCAGUACACCAAGGAGUCCGCCGUGGCCGGCAAGGACAAGACCGGCAGCGUGCUCCAGCAGGCCGGCGAGACGGUGGUGAGCGCCGUGGUGGGCGCCAAGGACGCCGUGGCGAACACGCUGGGCAUGGGCGGCGACAACACCAACACCGCCAAGGACAGCACCACCGAGAAGAUCACUAGGGAUCACUAG
RNAcentral lists this ribosomal RNA (510 nucleotides) under Triticum aestivum (bread wheat). RNAcentral describes it as "partial small subunit ribosomal RNA". Lineage: Eukaryota; Viridiplantae; Streptophyta; Magnoliopsida; Poales; Poaceae. The record is from RNAcentral.